This 117-nucleotide non-coding RNA is filed under the name Pan paniscus (pygmy chimpanzee). The record is from Rfam by way of RNAcentral. RNAcentral also lists the same sequence under 1 other name. Lineage: Eukaryota; Metazoa; Chordata; Mammalia; Primates; Hominidae.
GCCAGGUGUGGUGGCUCAUGCCUGUAAUCCCAGCACUUUAGGAGGCUGAGGUGGGUGGAUCACCUGAGGUCAGGAGUUCGAGACCAGCCUGGCCAACAUGGUGAAACCCCAUCUCUA